This is a long non-coding RNA of Apis florea (little honeybee), 1324 nucleotides long. The record is from RefSeq and is a predicted model, not a curated record. NCBI's taxonomy places the organism in Eukaryota, Metazoa, Arthropoda, Insecta, Hymenoptera, Apidae.
UUUUUUAUGCUACUUCUUUUUGCAUAAAUAUUAUAGAAAAAAUUAUGAAAGGACUCUGAAAGUAGAGACUUCAUGUUUUAAAAUGUUGUACGAUUUUUUUUUUCAGUUAUAAUAAUUUAAAUAUUAAUAAUUUUUUUUAGUAAAGAUUCAAAUAUUCGCUAAUUUAUGGAUAUAUAUGUAUUUAACAAAAACAGUUAAGCCAAAAGACACAUAUGUCUUUGAAAUAUGAUAAUCGAUAAAAAGAUAUGUUUUCUUUGUUAUAUAUAGGAUAUUAUAGGAUGGACCACUUAACGUGAUCACUUCGAUUAUUUUCAUUAUUUACGAGUGAAAACCACCUCUAAUAACCAUUGAUUCUUCUAAAUUAUUUGAAAGAUAAUGAUGAAAAAAAACUAAGAUCCGCAACAGUUUUCCAAAAUCAGCUAAAAUUCAGCAUGGAUACAGUUCGUUUCAGAACAUAGUUAGAAGUGAAAUGCUUCCAAUUUCAAAUAUUAAUUUCAAACUUUUGAUCUAAAAUCGAUUCGAUUUUAAUUUUCUUUUUUUUUUUAUCCAAAAUGACAAAUAAUUAAAUAUUACAAACUUUUGAGAUUCCAACCCUAAGAAAAUUCCUCUAUUGAUUCUAUGUUAAAUUUCGGAUACACUUUAUCUACACAGAAAGAAAAAAAUGAAAUUAACAAUAGACUGCAUUUAUUUAUUCUUAAUAGGAUUGCUUGUAAUGUAAGAAGAAUAACAAUAAUUCAUUUCAAAAGUAAAAACAAAUGGUUCAUUUAAUUUCUUUUAUUUUUCGAAUGAAAUAAACAAUGACUUCGAAUCUCGAUAGAUUUUUUCGAAGUUAGAAGGAAAUUUUAUAGAAUUUAGUGAUAACAUUAAUGAUAUAAAAAUAAGGAUUUUUUAAAUUAUUAAUCACUUCAAUUAAUUAAUGGUAUUUUUACGUAAUUCUAUAAAAAAAAGACAACAACAAUUUUAAUUGCAACAACAAACGAAUCAAAAAAGAAGCAAACAUAUAAUUUUGUAUAUACUAUUUUGUAAUAUACUAUUGUAUAGUAUUACAUAAUAUUACAAUAAUUCAUUGCGAAAGAAAGAAUAUUUUGUUAUCAUAUUUUGUUGUUGAUAAAAGUUGAAGAGAUACACCUAUAGAUAUAUCUGAUAUUUACCUUUAAGAAGACAAAUGAUCUAACGAAGAAUUGAAGAAAUCUAGAUUAUCGAUAAUGAAAUCUGUGAUUACGUUAUUUAACAUCGACCAUAUUCAAUGUUAUAAUAUAUUUUAUUUAACUAUUUACAUUCAAUGUUAAUAAAAUUAUAGAUAUAUUACAAAUAAUGAACAAUA